This is a long non-coding RNA of Sycon ciliatum, 1696 nucleotides long. RefSeq lists it as uncharacterized. The record is from RefSeq and is a predicted model, not a curated record. The transcript is spliced from 2 exons. NCBI's taxonomy places the organism in Eukaryota, Metazoa, Porifera, Calcarea, Leucosolenida, Sycettidae.
GAUCUACCCUUUUUCUAGUUUUGCAGCCUUUCCGCUAGUGCUGUUCGAGCAGAUGACAAGCUACGUCAGUCUUGCACUGGCCCAGGCCAGGCGGCAGCGUCGUUGACAGUAGGCUGACGGUGAUGACUUGUUUUGGUUCUGGUCAGGAUUCGCCGGCUCUGGAAUUAGGUUUUGCUCGCCGGCUCGGUCUUGCAACGACACCAGUAUCAGUAUUCUGUCGAAAAUGUAAUAAAAAAUUCUGGAGACCGAGUUUACUGGUAUACUACGAGUAACAGUUACUUGAUUUGAUUGCCGCCAUCACUACUACAGUACUAUACUACAUGUAGCUUGGCAGCGGUACACCAGGUACACUGGACUCCGCUAAGCCAUUCUAAUUUCUAUUCGCGAGCUAGCUGAGUGUGUUUCUGCGCUACCCCCUGCUAACCGCUAAGAGUCUUGAGCUCUGGACUGGACAGACGACUCAGAUAGCGGUCGUUACUGGAGUGCAGUGCGCAUCUAUCGCUGAGUGACUGGCGGCAUUAGGGAGUUGCGGGUCCAUGUGUGACCAUGGAGGACUAGUCUAUGGUAUGGAUGAGCGUCCCGUCCGCCUGCUAAGUGCGCCGCAUGCAGCGAGCCAUGCGGAGAUACAAAGGAGAUUGUGGUGGUCGUGGAUGAUGACCUUAUUGCCGAGUUGAUUGCCCACAAGGUGAUUUCCGCCCGCGCGACCGAUAUACAUGUAGUCUGAAGUUGAAUGGAUGAUGACCUAGUACCUGGAAGGGGAUAAGUGCCGGCUCAGUCGAUCAGUCUCUCAGGGAGAAAGGACUUGAGGAGUGAAACAUUGCAGAUGAGCCAGCGACUACAUCCCUCUAAAGGCAGGCCACUGUAUGUAUGUCAGCCACCCGUUUAGCAGCAAGUUGGCGUUGUAGCCGCAAUGUCGCCUGUGUUUGCUCAGAAACACACAUAGCGACAAUCCACAGGCACAUGGCGGGGACCGCUGGGGAUUGCGUGGCUCAUUGACUGCUCUCUCCUUCUAUGUCCUGACUGCUCUCCUUCCUGCUCUCUCCUUCUAUGUCCUGACUGCUCUCCUUCCCUGCUCUCUCCUUCUAUGCCCUGAGAGGUUUGUCUUGCCCUGAAUCAGACCCUGAAUCCGUGGGAAGUGGGUCUGGAAUUCUAUAUCGCGGCAUACAAACAUUUAAAAUGAGUGGACUGUGCAUAUCUUGUAUUACUUUGUGCCCAUGAUUUGACCAAAGACAAGCAACUAUAUGCUCUCCAUGGUGUCUAUGAUUGCAUUGCUGCCAGUCUUGCCCUAUACUUGUGUGAUCACUUUUUUCGAGCAUUUUUUUGUAUGAAUUCCUCCUCUCCACUAGCUGUUUCACUGCUUUGUGAGCUGCUGUUGGUAGUACCGUACUGGCUUUGCCUAUUUCUUUCUAUGGCCACAGUCAAGUUUUCCUGCCUUCAGCCACAGACCUUUUGAUGCUUCCCACUUAGCCAUUUUAUUGUCAGCCACAGACCUUUUGAUGCUUCCCACUUAGCCAUUUUAUUGUUAUCAUUUUUUUGUGUUCGUUUCUUGCUUUCUUGCUUUCCUGCUUUCCUCCUCUCCCUUUCCCUGUGCUUUGUGAGUGUGCAUGACGUUUGGCUGGGGUGGUGGGGGCCCAGGUGGGACAAUGUACUUUGAACAUCGUUUCUUGCUUUCUUGCUUUCCUGCUUUCCUCCUCUC